RNAcentral lists this unclassified non-coding RNA (200 nucleotides) under uncultured fungus. Its description in RNAcentral is "sequence contains ITS1, 5.8S rRNA gene". The stretch from base 152 to 200 matches the Rfam family "5.8S ribosomal RNA", at positions 1 to 49 of the family's 154-position model. The record is from RNAcentral. Lineage: Eukaryota; Fungi.
UUUCCGUAGGUGAACCUGCGUAAGGAUAAUUAGUGAUUUGCCUCUGGCAUUAAACUUUAUCCACAUACACCUGUGCAUCGUUGAGUAUGAGUAAUCAUACUUACUUUACAAACAUCUGUGUAAUGAACGUCAAAUUAUUAUAACAUAAUAAAACUUUCAACAACGGAUCUCUUUGCUCUCGCAUCGAUAAAGAACGCAGC